RNAcentral lists this long non-coding RNA (220 nucleotides) under Mytilus galloprovincialis (Mediterranean mussel). Lineage: Eukaryota; Metazoa; Mollusca; Bivalvia; Mytilida; Mytilidae. The record is from RNAcentral.
GUCUAUUUUUCUUAAACUAUAAGUAAUAGGUCAACUAUAUAUGUUGUAUAGAAGCAUUGUUAGCUGUACAUUUUCCCUGGCAUGGUUCAUCUGACCUUGACCUCAUUUUCAAGGUUCAUUGGUCUUUGUUUAGUUAUCUUGGUUAAUGUUAAGUUUAUGUGACAGUUGUAUUAAAGCUUAGCUUUAUACUUAGGACUAUUAACAUAAUAUCAAUGAUAAG